ACUCUUCCCCUGUUCCUCUUCCUGCUCCUGUCUCCUGGAGCCUCGGUAACCGGCGUAUCCGAUCUGCUCAACGAGGGCAGCAACAUCACCGACGGCAACACGCUGGUCUCAGCCGAUGGGUCGUUCAUCCUGGGCUUCUUCUCUCCCCGGGUGUCCACCAACAGAUACCUCGGGAUAUGGUUCUCCGUGUCCAACACCACCGUCUGCUGGGUGGCGAACCGUGAAAGGCCCCUGAACAGCACGGCGGGGGUUCUGGUGUUCAGCGACACCGGAAACCUUCUCCUGCUUGAUGGCUCAGGCCAGACCGUAUGGACAUCCAACUCCACCACGAGGGCAGCUCCUAGGGUUGCGCAGCUUCUUGAAUCCGGCAACCUGGUCAUCCGUGAACAAGCCGGCCACACCACCGUGUGGCAAUCGUUCGAUUAUCUGUCCGACACGCUGCUUCCUGGUAUGAAGAUGGGCAAGAACCGAUGGACAGGGUCCGAGUGGUACCUCUCGUCGUGGCGUUCAGCCGACGACCCGUCUCCGGCCUAUCGGUUCGUCACGGAGGUGAACGGGCUUCCGGACAACACCCUCUGGGACGGGAGCACCAAAGUCUACCGCACAGGGCCCUGGAACGGACUGCGCGCGCAACGAUGGGAGACCUUCUUGAAGGGGCCGAGGGACGUCUGCGACGCCUACGCCAUGUGCGGGCCGUUCGGCCUCUGCAACGCCAACGCUCCUUCGACGUCCUUCUGCAGCUGUCCCAGGGGCUUCACCCCGGCGUCCCCCGCGGAGUGGGACCUGAGGGAGAACUCGGGUGGAUGCCGGCGAAGUGCCGCGCUAGACUGCGCCCAAGGGAACGAGGGCGCCAGCACCAGCAGCACGGACGGGUUCAUGGUGCUCCAGGGCGUGAAGCUCCCCGACACGUUCAACGCAUCGGUGGAUGCGAGCACCACGGUGGAGGAGUGCAGGGCCAGGUGCUUCGCCAACUGCUCCUGCGUGGCCUAUGCCCCUGCUGAUAUCAAGGUAGGUGCUGUCGCUGGGUGCAUCAUCUGGACAGGAAACAUCACCGACCUACGCUACGUGGAUGGAGGGCAGGCUUUGUACAUGAGGCUGCCAAAGUCUGAACUAGGUGCGUACAACCUCCUCCUCUCGCUAUUUUCACCGAAAACAACAAUUUCAAUUAUAGUGGUAAUAAUAUUUCAUACCUACAUGUCUCUUAGUGUUUCCGCAGCAACGUGUGGAAAUUGUCUAGUUUUGUACUACAUCUCAUAUGGUCAGAGUCUUUCAGAUGCUACCGACCCCGCUGCUAGUCGUCGAGAUCGUGCUUCGACUGUCGGGUCGGUCCCUGCAGCUGAUCCAUCUACUAUGACUGAAGCCACGGAAGAAUUUUCCGAAGCCGGCAUAUGUGUCCCUGCAGUAGAUCUGCCUUCUAUAAAGGCGGCCACAGACGAUUUUUCUGAUAGCAAUAUCAUUGGCAAAGGCGGAUUUGGCGUGGUUUACAAGGCCCGAUUAAAUGGUGAUGUCAUCGCUGUAAAAAGACUUAGACCAUCUGGCCGUACGGAAAAAGGCAAGAAUGACUUCACAAGAGAAGUGGAAGUGAUGUCAAGGGUCACGCAUAUAAAUCUUGUGAAACUAGUUUCCUACUGCCAGGAAGAAGACGAGUGGAUACUAGUCUACGAGUACAUGCCCAACAAAAGUUUGAGCCCCUACAUAUUUGGAGAAAACUCAUCACCCCGUCCAUCGUUGACUUGGUUUCAAAGGCUAGAGAUAAUCCGUGGUAUUGCGAUAGGUGUUGAUUACCUUCACAACAAGGAAGUCAUCCACAGAGAUCUUAAGUUGCCGAACAUACUCUUGGAUCACGAGCUAAAGCCUAAGAUAGCGGACUUCGGCACCGCAAAGCUAUUUAUUGAUGAUCAGACGAACCCAACAUUAGUACAAACACCGGGAUACAUUGCUCCAGAGUAUGCAAGGGAAGGCAACCUGACGCUCAAGUGUGACGUAUACAGUUUUGGAGUGGUCUUGCUAGAGAUAGUCUCUGGCAAAAAGAUCACUUCCGCAAAAACGUUUCUUCUUGAUGCAUGGAGGUAUUGGAACAAAGGAAAAAUCAAGGCCCUUCUUGAUUCGCAGGUGGCUGAACCUAACCAUCAGCUCUCGUUGGAUCUAUCCAGGGUUAUCCAGAUCGGGCUUCUCUGCGUUCAACCAAUGCCCAAUGACAGGCCUACCAUGCCAGAGGUGGUCGUAAUGCUAACUGACAGCAGUUCAUGGCUCGCUAGGCCCAAGAAGCACGAGGUCGGCCCUGGUCAA
RNAcentral lists this ribosomal RNA (2289 nucleotides) under Triticum aestivum (bread wheat). Its description in RNAcentral is "partial small subunit ribosomal RNA". The record is from RNAcentral. Lineage: Eukaryota; Viridiplantae; Streptophyta; Magnoliopsida; Poales; Poaceae.